GACGAACGCUGGCGGCGUGCUUAACACAUGCAAGUCGAACGGAAAGGCCUCUUUCGGGGGGUACUCGAGUGGCGAACGGGUGAGUAACACGUGAGUAACCUGCCCUUGACUUUGGGAUAACUUCAGGAAACUGGGGCUAAUACCGGAUAGGAGCUCCUGCUGCAUGGUGGGGGGUGGAGAGUUUCUGCGGUGGGGGAUGGACUCGCGGGUUAUCAGCUUGUUGGUGGGGUAGUGGCUUACCAAGGCUGUGACGGGUAGCCGGCCUGAGAGGGUGACCGGCCACAUUGGGGCUGAGAUACGGCCCAGACUCCUACGGGAGGCAGCAGUGGGGAAUAUUGCACAAUGGGUGGAAGCCUGAUGCAGCAACGCCGUGUGCAGGAUGACGGCCUUCGGGGUGUAAACCGCUUUCGCUCAUGACGAAGCUUUGUGUGACGGUAGUGGGUAAAGAAGCACCGGCUAACUACGUG
This 467-nucleotide ribosomal RNA is filed under the name uncultured bacterium. Its description in RNAcentral is "partial 16S ribosomal RNA". It matches the Rfam family "Bacterial small subunit ribosomal RNA", at positions 28 to 507 of the family's 1533-position model. The record is from RNAcentral.